Megalopta genalis is the source of this 3928-nucleotide non-coding RNA. The record is from RefSeq and is a predicted model, not a curated record. Lineage: Eukaryota; Metazoa; Arthropoda; Insecta; Hymenoptera; Halictidae.
CUUCCACAGGGACCGUCGAUGCGAGACUGUAAACAAAGUGAUAUUCGCCUGCCUACAAUAAGAGUACAUCGAAUCCUCGACAUCAACACUGACUGCACUCGUGCACUCGUCCAGAAUUGCAAACUGUGGUUUGUGAUAGAAGAGUCGAGCCAUCUGCAGAAUGAACGACACCCGGUCAAUCACCAAUCACAGGAUAGCUUUAUAUAGACGAAGAGGAGACUAGGUAUUACCGCUAUACGUUGUUUUUCACCACCAGAAAGGACAUCCAUCCAAUCGGCGACAACGUCCCACCCUUGACCCUCAAUGUUUGUCAAAUUUUCUCUUUCCAACAGAUGGCCUAGUUGAACCAGAUCUAAUAGUUUAACAAGGUCGUCGUCUGUCAUCUUGCCGCGCCUUAUCAUCUCCUCCUUUGUAUGAGGAUAGAUAAUUUGAUCUCUGAGCGUACCCAGGGUCAUGUAAGGACGUUGCGGUAUGUAGAAUAAUUUUCCACGCGGUGGUUUGGUCACCGUUCCGCCCCAAACUGGCCACAACUGCCCAGGUAAACGGUUUCAAAUGGUCAGACAUUACCGUCGGAGAAUUUGGACACGGUUAGAUGGCGUGAUGAUAAAUGUCGAUAACGUACCUCUCCAAGAAUUCUGAAGAGAGAGCUCUUUCCGCAACCAUUAGGUCCGCAUACUAGCACGUUCAUUCCCGAGCUUACCUCGAACGUUAACUCUUUGAUAAGAACAUCGCCGUUCGGCGUUAUCAAUGGCACGCGAUCGAAACGUAUAAUGUUAUCUUUGGUCAGAAUCUUCCCCGCGCCCGGACUUCCAAUCGAUUCCUCCUUGAAGUCUGUGAUCAUUGUCCUAGAGUAUUUGCCCGCGUUCAAAUCGUCCAAGACGACCUUGAUUUCUGUAACCCUAGCUGUGAACCCUGCUAGCCGUGUCAGCUCUCUUCCGGCCAGUACUAAUCUGCCUAUAGCUUCCGCUAGUUUCACUAACAUCCGCCCAUACGUGUAGUAACUCUUGAAUCGAUGAUCAGGCGAUCCUGACAGGACACGAUGGUUCUUCUGAAAGAACGGAAUGCUGACCGCAUAAAAGCCUACGAUCGUUGCCAUGUCUGAAAGAAAAAUAUUUUCAAUAUUUUUCAGGUAUUAUGCCUGUAAGUGAAAAUGUAUCUAAGUAAGUCGUUCUUUACAUUUGCCGACAAAAUUAUCAAUCACUCCUAUGAGCGUUUUGAAUUCCAAACAUUUUCGGAGAUGAGUCACCUGUAAAACGAAAGGUAAAUAUAACACGAGCGUGGUAGUCCGCGAGAAUUCUACUGUUUACUUACUAGUUUAUAGAAGCUAGCUAGUAUCGUUAGUUUCUCUCUAUUGUUUCCUUGGUAAAACGCAAUCUCUUCAGAAUUCGUAAUUAGUCGGGAAUUAAUGUGACGGUACUCGCCCUCCAGACGUUGUUCUUUCACUGUCAUCGAGCCGAUCGGUUUACGAAGAUGCGUAAUCAUAGUACCAGCAAAGAGAAGGUAGAACAGCAUUAAUAUUGGUGUCUAUAAUGGAACAGAUAUUUUAGAAAGCGUGAACAGGCGUGCUCAAGAAUCGCUGAAUUAACAUACCUGACCACCAAGAUUGCUCGUCAAUCUAUAGACAUAAAUAAAUAUGUCCAAUAACGGUUUUGCGACGUUACUAUAAAGAUCCGUGCAGCUUUCACAGAAUUUGUCGACGUCGGUAGAUAAAAGCUGAUCUGGGUUUGCUAUUCGACUGUCCAAGUUACUCAUUUUGUAGUAUGUAAAACCCCUGUAAUAACCAGUAAUAUAUUCGAAUUUGAAACGUUUGGGAAAUCAAAUGCAUUAUUCAUAAUUGUUCUUGGCUGGUUCCACUCACUUCAGGUACUGGUCCAGUAGAUUUCGUGUGAUAUUCGUGCGUAGCCUCAACUUCAUUUCAUAUAUUCCAUAUUUCAGUACGUUGUUCACAACAGAGAUCUAAAUAAAUAUAGUCAUGGAAGAUCAUAUCAAUAAUAUCUUCCAAACGAUUAGAAAAUUAGCUGCUUGGCAGCCUGAACGAAAGAAUUUCAUUAGCAGCCUACAAAAGCAAUGCUCUGCAUACUUUAUUCACAAUAUAUAUACUCACUUACCACAGGCAAUACAGACAAAAAUUUAAAUAAACGCUUCUUAAAUAGAGGUGCAUCCAUAUUAACGAUCGACCUGAAACACAAUGCUUGUAACUUAUAAAUUGAAAGACUUGGGUUUUUCUCAGCAACUAAUUGUACGCACGAUUCGAUUAACGUUCCUAUGUUUAUCAUCCAUAGGUCGCACAGGGAUCUUGCCACUAAGGAACCAGCAACAAGAAGAACAAAUCCAAACUCUGGAGACACAACGGAUGGUAUACCAAUUCUGAGCAGUUGACGUAGUUGUUUGAAAAAUUUGGCAUUGACGUAAGCUUUCGGACUCUUUGGUUUCUCCUGAGAAUUGGAUUGUAUUGGUACAACUAGUGGAUUAGUACUAAUUUAACGGUUACAGAUUCAUUUGGCACUUACCUCUUUGAUAACAUACUGUAUAUCAUGAGAGGGCCACGCGUUCCUGUAAAAACAAACAAUCGUCUUGAGUGUUUUGACGAGACUGAGCAAGUUGAGUCUUGUACACACAUGGUUGUCCCAUCUACUUACUUAUUUCUCGUGACUUGUUUUCUGCCUCUUCUUUUUAGGAUCCAUAUCAACGCGGUGAGCGCACAAGCACCAGCCACUGUACGCUUGGUCGCGAAUUUACUAAGCAUCGGCGCCAUUCCCAACUGAUCAGCCUCUAAGUACGACUACAAAAUUUACACCGUCUUCUACGACGGUCUUGAGUCUUCUGCGUCCAGUUUCAGAGCUCGUUAAGGUGAACAGGUGGUGGGGCAAUACUUGGCAGUGAAUCAGCUAAACAGCAGCGAGACCACGUAUCGCAAGCAUUUCGCUACGAGUCAGUCUCUGAUUCCCGUGCUUUCACCUACUCUAACCUGAUCAUCGAAUUGUCUUAUAUCGUCUGCACUCUACGUGCACAAACAUCAGUAUCCCGCUAAUAACCGAUCAAAGUACAAAAUCACCAAACCAGUUUUGUUUAUGUAAUCUUACGCCAAUGAACUUUGAUACGGCGAUGCCCAAAUCAAUAAAUAUGUACAUGUACGAUCACACUCAACUCAAAGGUACAUCCGUUACAAAACGAAUCACGAAUUGGAAAGCUAAAGCUGGCUACAGCUGUUAAACUUAUGUACAUAUAUGCACAUGUCCGAUUCUUCCGUUCUUAUUUUGUAACGACAAUGUAUUCUUGCAAUGAUACAAAACAUUGCGACAAAUGUCACUGUUUGAUUUAACUUACCGAUAGUUUAUCGUUUUUCUUGUAUUUCAAUGUUUGGGUUGAUAUUGUCGUGACGUAAGCUUGCGUCCUGAUGACUAUGAUAAAUUCAAGAUGAUAUAUUUGAAAGUUAAGAACGUCAGACAGAUGGAAAUCACGAAAAAGAUACAUUACACAAGUAAUAAUCUCAUUUGGUGGGAGCUAUAUUUGUUUCUUAAAAUAGUAUUUCGCACAGCAGAAGCCAGCGCCAAUGUAAUAUCAAGGAAUAAUCUAAUACACCUUUGACACACACCCAGUAUCAGUUGAAGAUUAGUAUUUCCCAGCGUUAUCAUUAGCAAGAAUGAUCUAAAAACAAAAAAUAUUAAGGAAUUAAAUUCGUUGAGAAAAAGAAACCGUCGAUGAUUACGAAAUAUAGAAACAUUCAUUGUUUAGCGGAUCACUUUGCUGUUAAGCGGAACUAGUUGCAUACAAAAAAUCCAUGCAAGUUCGCACAUUGUAUUUCAGUCAACUGACAAUGAGCUGUUGAACAGAAUCAAAAACAUAAUUAAUGUACAUCGAAGAAGACACAACGUAUUUAAUGUAAUCAAUGUAAUUCUAAUGCGGAAAGAAAACGGAUAUAACAGUA